CCGAGGCGCCUGCGGCGGCCGCGGAGACACCGGAAGGAGCCGCGGCUGCUGCGGGAAGUGGCCGGUGCGGGAGGCGGGGACCCCGUGGGCUGAGCUGCGGAACGUUUUCCGGCGCUGUAUAUGCGACACCGCCCCUCUCCCAGGCAGGGGAGUAAAAGAAGAGUUGGUGGAGGAGCGGCCGCAGGCCAUCGUUGGCCGCGCUGGCGGGUCCCUUGGGGAAGGCCGUGGAGGUAUUACCUCAUUUGGAAAGCCUUGAGAAACAGGAAAACAUUUCUAACAAAAUGUCAGCUUUUCGAAGUCAUUGUCCACAUUUGGAUUCAGUUGGUGAAAUAACAAAAGAAGAUUUAAUACAAAAAUCUCAUGGUUGUUGUCAGGAUUGUAAAGUCAGAGGACCAAACCUCUGGGCAUGUCUGGAGAAUAGAUGUUCAUAUGUUGGCUGUGGUGAAUCACAAGUAGAUCACAGCACCAUUCAUUCUCAGGAGACAAAACAUUAUCUAACUGUGAACCUUACUACUCUUCGAGUAUGGUGUUAUGCUUGUAGCAAAGAAGUAUUUUUGGAUAGGAAAUUAGGAACUCAGCCUUCAUUGCCUCAUGUAAAACCGCUUCACCAAACACAGGAAAAUAGUGUCCAGGACUUUAAAAUACCCAGUAACACAACAUUAAAAACUCCUCUGGUUGCUGUAUUUGAUGAUUUGGACAUAGAGGUAGAAGAAGAAGAUGAACUUAAGGCAAGAGGUCUUACAGGUUUGAAAAAUAUUGGAAAUACUUGUUAUAUGAAUGCAGCUUUGCAGGCUCUUUCUAAUUGCCCACCUUUGACACAAUUUUUUCUGGAUUGUGGAGGACUAGCCCGAACAGAUAAGAAACCAGCUAUUUGUAAAAGUUAUCUCAAACUGAUGACAGAACUGUGGCAUAAAGCAGGCCAGGAUCUGUUGUGCCUACUAAUCUGUUUCAGGGAAUUAAAACUGUAAAUCCAACAUUUCGGGGUUAUUCUCAGCAAGAUGCUCAAGAAUUCCUUCGAUGUUUAAUGGAUCUGCUUCAUGAAGAAUUGAAAGAACAGGUCAUGGAGGUAGAAGAGAAUCUUCAAACUGUAACAACUGAGGAGACCAUGGAAGAAGACAAAAGCCAAUCAGACGUAGAUUUUCAGUCCUGUGAAUCUUGUAACAGCAGUGAUAAAGCCGAAAAUGAAAAUGGCUGUAGAAGCUUUUCUGAAGAUAAUAAUGAAACGACAAUGUUGAUUCAGGAUGAUGAGAACAAUUCAGAAAUAUUGAAAGAUUGGCAAAAAGAGAAGAUGUGCAAUAAGAUUAAUAAAGUAAAUUCUGAAGGAGAAUUAGAUAAAGAUAGAGACUCUGUGUCUGAAACAGUUGACUUGAACAGCCAGGAAACUGUCAAAGUGCAAAUACACGGCAGAGCUUCAGAAUAUAUUACUGAUGUCCAUUUGAAUGACCUGUCUACACCACAGAUCCUCCCAUCAAAUGAAGGUGUUAAUCCACGUUUAUCAGCAAGCCCUCCUAAAUCAGGCAAUUUGUGGCCAGGAUUGGCACCCACACACAAAAAAGCUCAAUCUGCAUCAUCUCCAAAGAGAAAAAAACAGCACAAGAAAUACCGAAGUGUUAUUUCAGACAUAUUUGAUGGAACAAUCAUUAGUUCAGUGCAGUGUCUGACUUGUGAUAGGGUGAGUAUGAGGGAAAUUUCCAUCAAAUGCUUUUUAAAAAAAUUUGACAAAAUGGUGUGAAAAGUGAAUUCCUUCUCCUUGCUAUUGAUGAUUAUACAUGUAUUUUUUAGGUUUACAUAAGUAUAAAUUGAUUCUAGGUGUAGAACUUGUUUUUUGGAAGUAAUAGCAACACACUUUUUAGGGAUAGAUCUUGAUUUGUCAUUUGACAGCUGUGCAUUAGCAGGAAGAGUUAACUCAGUGCUUCAUCUCUGUUCACAUAUAAAGGAGAUAAUGUUGCUCAGUAACAAGAAUUGGUAACACAAGCUUAUUCUCCCAAGGCUGGUGUAAUUAGUAUGCUGGGAAACUGUUAUUGUUCACAGGCACAAGGCUGUGCAUAUGUCUUUUGGAUUUGGUGGUAUGGCUUGUAAAUAUUUUCCCACGUUAAGAUUAGGGCUCAGAUCACAAAAAUAGUAUCAGAUUCAUACACAAGAGUGUGUAUUAAAGCCAUCAUGAGAUCUCCUAAUACCUCAUGAUUACUGCAUUUCUUUGAGGUUUUCAUAAGAAUGGUUUUACUUCGGUACAGUGAUAAAUACAAUUCAAAUGAAUGUAGAAUGACGUAUCUCAAAAAACCCCAAAGUAAGUUUUCAAUUAGUGUGUUAGAAUCUUAAGUCAAAUCUAAGGGCUUUCAGUAGGGUCAUUUUACUAUAGACUAUUUUGCUAUUUAAAUAUUUAGAUGGGAUUGUCCUGAAAUGUUUUCAGCCACACCUGCAGCAUGUGGAAGUUCCCAGGCCAGGGAUUGAAUCCGAGCACAGCAGCAACCCAAGCCACUGCAAUGACAACACUGGAUCCUGAACCUGCUGUGCCACAAGAGAACUCCUACAUUUUGUUUUUAAGACUACAUUUAAAAACUAUCAUCAGGAGUUCUCGUCGUGGCACAGUGGUUAACGAAUCCGACUAGGAACCAUGAGGUUGUAGGUUCGAUUCCUACCCUUGCUCAGUAGGUGAAGGAUCCGACGUUGCUGUGAGCUGUGGUGUAGGUCGCAGACGUGGCUCGGAUCCCGCGUUGCUAUGGCUCUGGCGUAGGCUGGCAGCUCCAGCUCCAGUUGGAUCCCUAGCCUGGGAACCUCCAUAUGCCGAGGGAGCGGCCCAAGAAAUGGCAAAAAGACCAAAAAAACCAAAAAACAAUAAAACAAAACAGCUAUCAUCAAGCUUCAGUGGCUGAAUGUGAGGUACUUCUCUUUGGUUCAUUGUCCUCAGCUAAUGGGGACAAUAGUAGUUCCCUCAUAUGGUUUAUGUGAAGAUUAAAUUUAGAACAGCACCUGGUACAGAGCAAUUUUGCUUUUGUUAUUAUUAUCUUUGCUAUUGUUAAUUACUAUAAAAGCAGUUUGAUUUUUUUGUUUUUUCUUAUAGUUUGCUUUGAUCUUUGCAAUCUAGAAUCUAUCCUCAAAUGUUUGUGCUGGAUUAUUUUCAUCCUGUUCUUAAAACAAAACAAUUUUAGGUGUCUGUAACCCUCGAGACCUUUCAAGAUCUAUCCUUGCCUAUCCCUGGCAAGGAAGACCUUGCUAAGCUGCAUUCAUCAAGUCAUCCAACGUCUAUAGUCAAAGCAGGAUCAUGUGGUGAAGCAUAUGCUCCACAAGGGUGGAUAGCUUUUUUCAUGGAAUAUGUGAAGAGGUAUGUAUGUAUUUUGUUUGUAUUAAUUGAUUGUUAAAACCGCUGUUUCUGCUGUACUGGCAGAACAUUUCCUUCUUUUUUUUUUUUCUGUCAAUAAUGUUUCAGGUUUGUUGUCUCAUGUGUCCCUAGCUGGUUUUGGGGUCCAGUAGUAACCUUGCAAGAUUGUCUUGCUGCCUUCUUCGCCAGAGAUGAACUAAAAGGUGACAAUAUGUACAGUUGUGAAAAAUGCAAAAAGUUGAGGAAUGGAGUAAAGUUUUGUAAAGUACAGAAGUUUCCUGAGAUUUUGUGCAUCCAUCUUAAAAGAUUCAGACAUGAAUUGAUGUUUUCCACCAAAAUCAGUACCCAUGUUUCAUUUCCAUUGGAAGGCCUGGAUCUUCAGCCAUUUCUUGCUAAAGAUAGUCCAACUCAAAUUGUUACCUAUGAUCUCCUGUCAGUCAUUUGUCACCAUGGAACUGCAAGUAGUGGACACUAUAUUGCCUACUGCCGAAACAAUUUAAAUAAUCUCUGGUAUGAAUUCGAUGAUCAGAGUGUCACUGAAGUUUCAGAAUCUACUGUACAAAAUGCAGAAGCUUAUGUUCUUUUCUACAGGAAGAGCAGUGAAGAAGCACAAAAAGAGAGGCGGAGGAUAUCCAAUUUGUUGAACAUAAUGGAACCAAGUCUCCUUCAGUUUUACAUUUCUCGUCAGUGGCUAAAUAAAUUUAAGACUUUUGCUGAACCUGGCCCUAUUUCAAAUAAUGAUUUUCUUUGUAUUCAUGGAGGUGUUCCUCCACGAAAAGCUAGUUAUAUUGAAGACCUGGUUUUGAUGCUGCCUCAGAACAUUUGGGAUAACCUAUAUAGCAGGUUUGGUGUUUUUUUGUUGUUUUUGUUUUGAUUUUUUGUCUUUUUAGGGCCACACCCAUGGUACAUGGAAGUUCCUGGGCUAGGGGGUCAUACAGCUUCCGGCCUAUGUCACAGCCACAGCCACAGCCACGCAGGAUCUGAGCUGCAUCUUCGACCUACACCACAGCUCAUGGCAACACCGGAUCCUGAACUCACUGAGUGAGGCUAGGGAUUGUACUUGAAUCUUCAUGGAUACUACUUGGGUUCAUCUCUGCCGAGCCACAACUGCACCGGGAAUUCCCGAAAGCCAGUUCUUUUACUUUAUGUUGUUAUUGCCUCAAACAUAUUUUGCAACAAAUGUAGCUAUAAGGGAAACCUGACAUAUAGAUAAAGCAAGCAAGUCAAUAAACAGAUAAUGUCAUUGACUCCGAUAAACAUAAAAUCAAGUCCUUGUGAUAAUUUGUUUUUCACAUUUUACUAAGACUUAGAGACAUUUCCUAGGACAUCACCUUCUUCACAAUGCUCAUAAUUAUGAAAUUCUUCAUGCUUUAGGUAUGGAGGAGGACCAGCUGUCAACCAUCUGUACAUUUGUCACACUUGCCAAAUUGAGGCAGAGAAAAUUGAAAAACGAAGAAAAACUGAAUUGGAAAUUUUUAUUCGGCUCAACAGAGCAUUCCAAGAGGAGGACUCGCCAGCUACUUUUUAUUGCAUCAGUAUGCAGUGGUUUAGAGAAUGGGAAAGUUUUGUGAAGGGUAAAGAUGGAGAUCCUCCAGGUCCUAUUGAUAACACUAAAAUUGCAAUCACCAAAUGUGGCAAUGUCACACUUAGGCAAGGGGCAGAUUCUGGUCAGAUUUCUGAAGAAACGUGGAAUUUUCUACAGUCUAUAUAUGGUGGAGGGCCUGAAGUCAUCCUGCGGCCUCCUGUUGUUCAUGUUGAUCCUGAUGUCCUACAAGCAGAAGAAAAAAUUGAAGUAGAAACUCGGUCUUUGUAAUUUUGAGGGUAUAGAGGUCUGAUGAGAAAUCAUUCUCACAUCUUCUGACAUAUAGUCAUGCAAAAACAUUCCUAAAAGCAUGUUUAUUUUCUUGAUUUUUAAUAUUUUAUCUUUUAUUCCUUCUUACUGGGCAUUUUGAAAGAAUGUGUUCAAAUGUAUAGUAUUCUACAGGUUGGUAUAUUUAAUGGUAGAUAACUUUCCGUAAAGUCUUUUGGUGUAAUAUUUUUGAAAGAGAAGGGGUAAUUGUGAUCAUUUGGUAAUGAGUUGGUUAUCUUUGAUAUUUAUACUACAUAUAAACCCAUGAAUCCUUUGUAGCUUUGUAAAUACUUUUGCUUUGAAAACUUUUUCAUUAUCCUAAAUGAUCAUAACUCUGACCAAUCUUUUCAGUUCUUCAAAAACUUGAUUUAAUUGUAUAGUUUUGACAUGGCUUCUUAUAAUAUAAAGAGCCUAUUUUAAAUUGAGAGUUGUAGUCAGAAAAAUGUUAAUUUCCUAAAGCUCAGGAAACUGUUAGGGUGUCAACUUCUUUUGCACUGCAGCAUAUAAACUAGCAUAUUAAUAUUUACAAGAUGUCUUUUUGAAUGUAUCAAGGAUGUAUUUAGUUUGAGUGGAAUUUGUGUCAGCAGAUAUUAGUAAUUUAUUGCCUCCUAUACUGUAAAAUAUUAAAUUUCAAUUCCUAUAACCCUGAUUAGUAAUCUUAAUAUCAGUAAAAAACUUAGAGUUAGUUUUAGGACACUUUGUUUUGAGAGCAUGAAGUAUAGACUGUCAAUGAGAUUGUUGAUAAAGCUGAAGUCUAAGCCUCUUGCAAAUGAUUUUUUAAAUGAAACCUGCAUAAAGUCUUUUUGAAUAAUAUAGUAUGCACUGCUAUUUGCUUGAUUAUGUGAUGUCAAAAGUUUAACUAUAUUCCAAGUACAAAACUAAACUGGAUUACUUUGAGAAUGUUGAAUAGCAUUCACAGUGGCUUUGUUUUGGUUUGGGGCAGCUGCCACCAGCUAAAACAGCAUUAUUAAAAUUAGUUCAAUAAAAAUGAUUUAAAAAUGUGUAA
Sus scrofa (pig) is the source of this 6174-nucleotide non-coding RNA. The record is from RefSeq and is a predicted model, not a curated record. NCBI's taxonomy places the organism in Eukaryota, Metazoa, Chordata, Mammalia, Artiodactyla, Suidae.